UAGGGAAUCUUCGGCAAUGGACGGAAGUCUGACCGAGCAACGCCGCGUGAGUGAAGAAGGUUUUCGGAUCGUAAAGCUCUGUUGUUAGAGAAGAACGUUGGCAGGAGUGGAAAAUCUACCAAGAGACGGUAACUAACCAGAAAGGGACGGCUAACUACGUGCCAGCAGCCGCGGUAAUACGUAGGUCCCGAGCGUUGUCCGGAUUUAUUGGGCGUAAAGCGAGCGCAGGCGGUUCUUUAAGUCUGAAGUUAAAGGCAGUGGCUUAACCAUUGUACGCUUUGGAAACUGGAGGACUUGAGUGCAGAAGGGGAGAGUGGAAUUCCAUGUGUAGCGGUGAAAUGCGUAGAUAUAUGGAGGAACACCGGUGGCGAAAGCGGCUCUCUUGUCUGUAACUGACGCUGAGGCUCGAAAGCGUGGGGAGCAAACAGG
RNAcentral lists this ribosomal RNA (429 nucleotides) under Bacillota bacterium. RNAcentral describes it as "Firmicutes bacterium partial 16S ribosomal RNA". It matches the Rfam family "Bacterial small subunit ribosomal RNA", at positions 355 to 776 of the family's 1533-position model. Lineage: Bacteria; Bacillati; Bacillota. The record is from RNAcentral.